This 560-nucleotide ribosomal RNA is filed under the name Saccharomyces cerevisiae (brewer's yeast). Its description in RNAcentral is "eukaryotic LSU rRNA". It matches the Rfam family "Eukaryotic large subunit ribosomal RNA", at positions 52 to 626 of the family's 3401-position model. Lineage: Eukaryota; Fungi; Ascomycota; Saccharomycetes; Saccharomycetales; Saccharomycetaceae. The record is from RNAcentral.
GGAGGAAAAGAAACCAACCGGGAUUGCCUUAGUAACGGCGAGUGAAGCGGCAAAAGCUCAAAUUUGAAAUCUGGUACCUUCGGUGCCCGAGUUGUAAUUUGGAGAGGGCAACUUUGGGGCCGUUCCUUGUCUAUGUUCCUUGGAACAGGACGUCAUAGAGGGUGAGAAUCCCGUGUGGCGAGGAGUGCGGUUCUUUGUAAAGUGCCUUCGAAGAGUCGAGUUGUUUGGGAAUGCAGCUCUAAGUGGGUGGUAAAUUCCAUCUAAAGCUAAAUAUUGGCGAGAGACCGAUAGCGAACAAGUACAGUGAUGGAAAGAUGAAAAGAACUUUGAAAAGAGAGUGAAAAAGUACGUGAAAUUGUUGAAAGGGAAGGGCAUUUGAUCAGACAUGGUGUUUUGUGCCCUCUGCUCCUUGUGGGUAGGGGAAUCUCGCAUUUCACUGGGCCAGCAUCAGUUUUGGUGGCAGGAUAAAUCCAUAGGAAUGUAGCUUGCCUCGGUAAGUAUUAUAGCCUGUGGGAAUACUGCCAGCUGGGACUGAGGACUGCGACGUAAGUCAAGGAUGC